GUGGGUGACAGUGGAGUAUCUUGACUGUGGAGUAUCUUGACUGUGGGUGGCAGUGGAGUAUCUUGACUGUGGAGUAUCUUGACUGUGGGUGGCAGUGGAGUAUCUUGACUGUGGAGUAUCUUGACUGUGGGUGUCAGUGGAGUAUCUUGACUGUGGAGUAUCUUGACUGUGGGUGGCAGUGGAGUAUCUUGACUGUGGAGUAUCUUGACUGUGGGUGUCAGUGGAGUAUCUUGACUGUGGAGUAUCUUGACUGUGGGUGGCAGUGGAGUAUCUUGACUGUGGUUGGCAUGGAGUAUCUUGACUGUGGAGUAUCUUGACUGUGGGUGGCAGUGGAGUAUCUUGACUGUGGGUGUCAGUGGAGUAUCUUGACUGUGGGUGGCAGUGGAGUAUCUUGACUGUGGAGUAUCUUGACUGUGGGUGCUAUGGAGUAUCUUGACUGUGGAGUAUCUUGACUGUGGUGGCAGUGGAGUAUAUUGACUGUGGAGUAUCUUGACUGUGGGUGGUAGUGGAGUAUCUUGACUGUGGGUGGCAGUGGAGUAUCUUGACUGUGGGUGGCAGUGGAGUAUCUUGUCUGUGGAGUAUCUUGACUGUGGGUGACUGUGGAGUAUCUUGACUGUGGGUGUCUGGAGUAUCUUGACUGUGGGUGUCUGUGGAGUAUCUUGACUGUGGGUGUCUGUGGAGUAUCU
This is a long non-coding RNA of Clupea harengus (Atlantic herring), 686 nucleotides long. The record is from Ensembl. Lineage: Eukaryota; Metazoa; Chordata; Actinopteri; Clupeiformes; Clupeidae.